GGGCCGCAGGCUGACGCAGCGACGCCGCGUGUGGGAUGACGGCCUUCGGGUUGUAAACCACUGUCAGGGGGAACGAAUACACGCUUCGUGCGUGGGUGACGGUACCUCCAAAGGAAGCACCGGCUAACUCCGUGCCAGCAGCCGCGGUAAUACGGAGGGUGCGAGCGUUGUCCGGAAUCACUGGGCGUAAAGGGCGCGUAGGUGGCCCGUUAAGUGGCUGGUGAAAUCCCGCGGCUCAACUGCGGGGCUGCCGGUCAUACUGGCGAGCUAGAACACGGUAGGGGCAGAUGGAAUUCCCGGUGUAGCGGUGGAAUGCGUAGAGAUCGGGAAGAAUACCAGUGGCGAAGGCGUUCUGCUGGGCCGUUGCUGACACUGAGGCGCGACAGCGUGGGGAGCAAACAGGAUUAGAUACCCUGGUAGUCCACGCCGUAAACGAUGGACACUAGACGUCGGGGGGAGCGACCCUCCCGGUGUCGUCGCUAACGCAGUAAGUGUCCCGCCUGGGGAGUACGGCCGCAAGGCUGAAACUCAAAAGAAUUGACGGA
RNAcentral lists this ribosomal RNA (545 nucleotides) under uncultured bacterium. RNAcentral describes it as "bacterial SSU rRNA". It matches the Rfam family "Bacterial small subunit ribosomal RNA", at positions 373 to 917 of the family's 1533-position model. The record is from RNAcentral.